This 1018-nucleotide long non-coding RNA is filed under the name Marmota monax (woodchuck). Lineage: Eukaryota; Metazoa; Chordata; Mammalia; Rodentia; Sciuridae. The record is from RNAcentral.
AGCUGAAUACCAGGGCAGACCGCUCCUCUCAGGGCCUUGGGUAAAGCAGACCUGGGAAGGAAAGCCAGGCCCUGCAGGUAGGGGAGCUCCCCGGAGGGUCCUAGUGUCUUUUCCCACUGCUGUCUCCUCCCUCCUACACCCCCACUUCAAUAAAGCCAAGAGUCACAAUUGUUGCUUUACAAUUCCAUUUUCUAAAAAAAAAAUAUGAUUUAGAAAAUACCCAGCUAUUAUGGAAGAAAUGACACAGUCAUUGUAAUCAGAUUGGGGGACUCAGGGUGUGAGCGGGUUUGUAGAGUGACUUUCCAGCCUUCUGCUGGGGCCAGGGGAAGUACACACCCACAGCUGCAUGAAAGAUGGGGAGGCUCUGGAGAUCCAUGUGCUUCUCACAUGGCCUUUCGACCAAUCCUCUGGCCUUUACUCCCAUUUCUAGAGGUUCCUGGGAUUACUGCCCAUUCCUGAGCCUUGGGGCAUUCUUCAGGGUCAACUGGGGUUGCUUCUAGGUCUUCCCCGGUCAUGAUCUAUUAUUCAACGUUAUCAGGUUUGCAAGGAAGUUACACCUUCUCCAUUUGUCUUCUAGAGUCUUCAAUUACAUUGCUGUGGUUGCUUUUCUGUUUUCUGUACUAUCUAGUUUAAUGAGGCUUUGAUUCAAUGCAUAUACUACACUGUGCAACAUUUAACCAGAGUUCAACCCUGGAUUUGAAUGUGUCCUCUGUUAUGGCCCAGUCAUGUGACUUUGGGACAUCUUGAAGAGGAAAAAUUGUAUUAAGUUUCCAUUUCUUUGAUUAUUAGUGAAGUUGGAUACUUAUCUAGAAAUUCAUUAUUCAUCUUUAUUUUCUUUUGCUUGUGAUCAUUGCCUACCUUUCUCCUGCAGUUCUAGUCUUUAAAAAUUUAUUCAUAAGCAAUUUUCUAUGUCAAGAAUAUCUACCUAUUAACUAUUAUGUUUACUGCAAAUAUUUCCCCCAAUAGCUUACUUGGCUUUGAUUUGUUCUGUUGUGUCUAUGGGGUUUUGUUCCGAAUU